GGAUGUGAGGGCCAUCUGGCUGCGACACCUCUCAUCCCAUUGAUCUCUAGGGUUGAUUCGGUGGCUCUGGCUGGAGAGGCGGGUGUCCCCUUCCUCCCUCACCACUCCAUGUGUGUCCCUCCCGAAGCUGAGCGCUCGGUCCAAGAGGACCACCCCUAGAGAGGAGGACCGUUUCCUAGGGAAGGGUAUACAAGUAGCUGCGCUCCCCUGCUAGAACCUCCACACAAGCUCUCAAGGUCCAUUUGAAAGGGAAUGUAGGGAAGUCAAGCUGCCAAGACCCAGACACAUCCCAAUGAGUCUCUGUAAGUGGCACUCUGCCUUUCUUA
RNAcentral lists this small nuclear RNA (326 nucleotides) under Heterocephalus glaber (naked mole-rat). RNAcentral's name for it is "7SK RNA". It matches the Rfam family "7SK RNA". From Rfam's summary of the family: 7SK was discovered as an abundant small nuclear RNA in the mid-70s but a possible function has only recently been suggested. Two independent studies have found that 7SK RNA binds the CDK9/cyclin T complex (known as elongation factor P-TEFb). P-TEFb activates transcription by phosphorylating the C-terminal domain of RNA polymerase II. Lineage: Eukaryota; Metazoa; Chordata; Mammalia; Rodentia; Bathyergidae. The record is from Rfam by way of RNAcentral.